CAACCCCUCGAGCCCCCGGGCCCGGUGUUGGGGAACGACCAGCAGCCCUCCGGGGCGGUCGUCCCUGAAAUACAGUGGCGGUCACGUCGCGGACCCUCUGCGUAGUAGCAACACCUCGCACUGGAGAGCGGCGCGCCCACGCCCCGAAACACUUCUUUCACA
Molecule: unclassified non-coding RNA, 162 nt
Filed under: Caespitomonium hyalinulum
Lineage: Eukaryota; Fungi; Ascomycota; Sordariomycetes; Hypocreales; Bionectriaceae
Description: partial internal transcribed spacer 2
Source: RNAcentral